CGGUGCAACUGGAGCUCAAACUGCCCCAAGAUCUCUACAUAGGCUUAGGGAGAAGAGAGAGAGAAGGAGAUGGGUAAAAGCAAUGUGAAAGAGAGACGGACAGACAGAUAGGCAGACAUAGAAAUAGGGUGAUGAGAGACAGAGAAAAGGGGGGGGAUAGAAAAGGAGGAUCUGAGGAAAACAUCUAGAACAGGGGAGUUGGAAACAGCAAGGGUGUAAGAAAGAGGGAGGGGGACAAAAUGAAAAGGCAGAGAAGGGAAAGGGGUUUAUUGGAUGGAAAAGAAGAUUGAAUUAUGGGGAGCAUCUUUCCUCUCAGAUGACUCUGCUCCAGAAAGCACCUCCUCCCCUUGGCACAGGGCAGAAUACACAAGUAAAGUUAACAUGGCUAACCUGAGGUCCUGGAACACAGCUUCAGCCUGGUUAAAGGCCAUGCAUACUGUAGUCUGAGCCCCAAUUGGUCACGUAGGAAACUUGUUGCAGAGCCAUGAAUAGAGGCCAGCUCUCCAAGCCUUAACCACCAGGUCAUCCUCCUUCCUGCCAUUUGGGACUCCUUUGAGUUCAUCUGCUUAACAAAAAUAUGAACUGACACUGACCAUAUAAAGAUUGCUGCUCAUGUUGAGGACGUGAAGUCUUGUGUGACACUGUCCAAUGACCUGCUCUGGCUGAGGUUUGGAGCAGAGCUGGUCAGGUCUUGAGAAAGCUAUCUCCACUUCUUAUUCAUCAAAGCAAAGGUGAUUGUGACCCACAGUCUUUAAAUGUGCAGGAGACAGCAAAGGAAUAAAGAGUAAGCAAUAUCUUGGGGAAACUCCCUAUUUUCUGAUGAAAAAAGGUGAUGAGCUACCUCUCUGGCUACCAUGGACAGAGCACAAUCCUGGGAGACGGUGUGUGGGAGGAUUCCAGAGAGCAAUUCGGAGGAUACAGCUUCUUAAUGCACCCAGAAACCAUCUCCCAGCUAGUCCUGGUCCCUCUUGCAACCUCCAGAUAUGGAAAACUUCAGAAUGGCUGCAUCUGAAGGCCAGUUGGAACCAAAGGACUUACUACUUGUAAUCUUUCAGAGUGGACAGGACAGUGUACUGCAUGGGAGUUGUCUGAAAGUGUUGAAUUGCUGGCAUUUCCUGACAGACUUUUGGAACAAGGGUUACAUGUCAGCUGUUUGUGCAAACCGUGAACACCUCAUUGGAUGGAAGGAGUACCAAAAUACAUUAUUAUUAGGGGAUUAUGAUGGGAAAUUAGUUUGUAGUAGAGCAGGAGAGUAAACAGCUACUUUUUGGUAGGUACCGAACCUGGAGCCUUGUCCUCAGCAGAGCAAUGUCUUGCCUCUUUAAUUCCCCUCGCCACGUGGUGCAGGGAGUAGUUAAGAUCAAGAAAACAGGUGUUUUGAUGCCCUUCCCUGGACAUUUAAAAUUAGACUGGACAAAGAACUAGAAAGUAUGGUAUGGGGAAUGACCCUGGGGUGGUCUUAGGGAGAUGGAGGGGAUGAACUACAAGUCUUCUUUAUCUCUAGUUUCCUCUCUCUCUAGAGGAUGAGGAGGAGGAUGUGCACACAAGUAUGCCAUCCUUUCAUUCUUUAACCUGCCUGGAUAAACAGAGGUAGGAGCACACAUUUAAACCAUCUACAGUGUUGAGAUUCAUAUUAAGAUCUUGAAUGCAGAAGAACCCAUUGCAGCUCUGAGAUAAAUUCUAAGACUGGAGUUCUGAUUUUUGCCUUCUUUCCCUGAUCAUUUCCAUCCUCUCUGCUCCCCCCCAAACCUCCGAAGAGCUGACAACCAUUCCUGUCAUGUCUCUGUCUGCAAGGUGGUCAUUUCACACUAGGCCACUCUGCUUUUAUCUCUCUAUUUCCAUCAGUGAGGAAUCAGAACUGGGUCUGUUAGACUGACAUCUGAUAAAAGCCAAGCUUUGUGGCUGAUGGGGGAGGGCUCUUUGCUGUCAGUGGUGUCAUCUGAUUCCCCUCUACCACCCGUUCUCUCCCAUGCUGUUACCUUACUGUGCCCUGGGAGCUACUUAUGCAACCCGGGACAAAGAAGGAUCUUAUUUGUUUGCUGCCAGCACUGAAAUGGCUCUGACAAGUCUAGGCACUGCAGCAGUGUAUGUUCAAGGUGCAGUGCAGUGCAGCUCACUUGAAGAGAGACUGUAAUGUCAGACUCUGAAAUCACUGAAACUCAGAGUAAGGCUCUCCAUCUCUUGCAGGUCUGAGGAGAUUCUGUGAAAGAGAGAUAUAUGAUAAGAAAAUAAUUUGGGGAAUGCAAGCAAUGCCCCACCCCACACUGCUAAGAGUGAGUGCGUGCUGGAUCUGCAGAAAGGAAUAAACCUGCCUUGUGAACUGGUCUCAUUGUUACUGUGUAAUGCUGCUGGAGCAUGCCUGCAAAAUCAUCAUGAAUGUUUACUAGCCUAGGCACAAAGUCUACUUGCCUGCUUUUACCAUGUUGUUGCUGAAAAUCUAAUGAUAAGUUAAUUGCCCAUCAGAUAAAAUCAGUUGUGCCUCAAACGAAUGUGGUAAGUAGAGUUUUUCCAGGCUGUAGAAUUAGAAACCAUUUCAUCAUGGGUGGUCAGCAUGCGUGCUGCUGUUCUAUGGAUACCAGAAUUGUUUUAUGCCCCAUUCCCAGAAGAGUCCAGGAAACUAAUCUGAAGAACUGAAAAGUACUUGAAGUAUUGAUUUAUUCUCCCCUCUGAUAGUGGAAAAGAGCAGGAGAUUAUGCUCUACUUGUUUGUAAAGACUUGUGAAAAUAAAUUGUUUGAACAAACUGA
Long non-coding RNA from Malaclemys terrapin pileata, 2745 nucleotides. RefSeq lists it as uncharacterized. The record is from RefSeq and is a predicted model, not a curated record. The transcript is spliced from 6 exons. NCBI's taxonomy places the organism in Eukaryota, Metazoa, Chordata, Testudines, Emydidae.